AAGCGGAAUUCUCGGUGUAGCGGUGAAAUGCGUAGAUAUCGAGAAGAACACCAGUGGCGUAGGCGGCUCUCUAGCCCGAUACUGACACUGAAACACGAAAGCGUGGGUAGCGAACGGGAUUAGAUACCCCGGUAGUCCACGCCGUAAACGAUGGGUACUAGGUGCAGGUGGUAUCGAUCCCUUCUGUGCCGAAGCAAACGCGUUAAGUACCCCGCCUGGGGAGUACGGCCGCAAGGCUAAAACUCAAAGGAAUAGACGGGGGCCCGCACAAGCGGUGGAGCAUGUGGUUUAAUACGACGCAACGCGUAGAACCUUACCAGGGCUUGACAUGCUGGUGGUACUGGCUCCGAAAGGAGACAGGACCCUUCGGGGAGCCAACACAGAUGUUGCACGGCUGUCGUCAGCUCGUGUCGUGAGAUGUUGGGUUAAGUCCCGCAACGAGCGCAACCCUUGUCCUUAGUUGCCAGCAGGUAAUGCUGGGGACUCUAAGGAGACUGCCUGUGAUAAGCAGGAGGAAGGUGAGGAUGACGUCAAGUCAUUGUGGCUCUUACGCCCUGGGCUACACACGUGCUACAAUGGUCGAUACAAUGGGUAGCAAUGCCGCGAGGUGGAGCCAAUCCCCAAAAGUCGGCCUCAGUUCGGAUUGGAGUCUGCAACUCGACUCCAUGAAGUCGGAAUCGCUAGUAAUGGCGCAUCAGCUACGGCGCCGUGAAUACGUUCCCGGGCCUUGUACUCACCGCCCGUCACAUCACCUGAGUUGAUUGCACCUGAAGUCACUGGUCUAACCUUCGGGAGGAAAGUGCCGAAGGUGU
Molecule: ribosomal RNA, 812 nt
Filed under: uncultured organism
Description: bacterial SSU rRNA
Rfam family: Bacterial small subunit ribosomal RNA
Source: RNAcentral